RNAcentral lists this transfer RNA (71 nucleotides) under Marmota monax (woodchuck). Its description in RNAcentral is "tRNA.Ala". The record is from RNAcentral. Lineage: Eukaryota; Metazoa; Chordata; Mammalia; Rodentia; Sciuridae.
GGGGUUGUAGCUGAGCUGUACAGCGUUCGCCUAGCAUGUGCGAGGCGCUGUGUUCGAUCCUCAGCACCACA